GAGUUACUACAAUGCUAACAAGUCCAACUUGAAGUUAUACGUCAGACGUGUCUUCAUCUCAGAUGGAUUCGAUGAUCUUCUGCCCAAGUACCUGAACUUUUUGAUGGGAAACACAUUAGGAAGUUGGUUAAAGAUGGAUUCAUCAGCUGCAAACCAAACCACAUUCACUCUCCAUAUCAUGCACGGAGAAUGACAAAAGCCAGAUUGAGGGGUUUUCACUCUGGAUAUGGUUCAGUUAGUGAUUGAGAAUUUAGAGCAAUUGUUCCUGAAACAAUAAAAAUGAGCGGCUUGUUGUCAAUGAUGAUCGAGGUGAUAAGUUAAUGCUACUGCGAGCAAAUCCAGAUGCCCC
Long non-coding RNA from Papaver somniferum (opium poppy), 349 nucleotides. RefSeq lists it as uncharacterized. NCBI's taxonomy places the organism in Eukaryota, Viridiplantae, Streptophyta, Magnoliopsida, Ranunculales, Papaveraceae. The transcript has 3 exons. The record is from RefSeq and is a predicted model, not a curated record.